Molecule: long non-coding RNA, 676 nt
Filed under: Oryzias javanicus (javanese ricefish)
Lineage: Eukaryota; Metazoa; Chordata; Actinopteri; Beloniformes; Adrianichthyidae
Description: lncRNA (ENSOJAG00000000887.1)
Source: RNAcentral
GUUUUUGCCUGUUUCCUUACAUAUCGAGCUUUUAUUGGCUAAUUUAGAUAUUAGCUUCUCUUUUAGCAAUAGGCUAACAUUCUUGAAUAAUUUAGAUUAGUGAAGACUUUGAGGCUACUUUGGAUUUUAGCUAGUAUUUAAGCCAUGUUUUAUGUUUUGGCUAAUUUGGCAUCUAAAAAAUAAGAUACAUUAAAAGUCGAAUAAUCGGAAAAAAUAGUCGGUGAUUCGUGGACUUCGUCAGCAGGCCUACCCAUCAGAGACGAUGCCCUCGGCGAUCUCGCAGACCAGGACGAAGAGCAGGACGAAGCUCCUCGGGAUGAGCUCCGCGCGCGCGGAGGGGAGUCAGAGGGAGGCGGGUCGUGAGGAGGAGCGGGUCAGAGGCGGCCAGAGUCCCCCCUCUCCGUCCAUCCCGUCCGCCUGCAAACUGAGGACGUCCUGCAGGGCGCCGCUCGCGCUCGGCUCGCGCGCGCGCAGCGCCGCUCCUCUGGAAUGCACGCGGGCAUGCUCACAUGGCGGGAGGAGGAGCGGCUCCCGCAGAUCCCGCUAUUCCUGUCUCCAGAGGCGACCUUGGCGGAGCAGAGGGGACGGACGUGCCGGAGGAGCCGGUGGCGCGAGCGCAGCAGCAGGUAUAAUCAGUCGGACCGGUUGCAGAGCUGAUGUGAGAGGAAGAAUGUGA